GUUCCAGUCGAACGAAGGGCAAUGUGGCGUAUAGGAGAGGCCUCACCGGAUGAUUCGCAGCAGCCAAAGUCCCCCUGACCGGGGCCAUUGCCCGAAGUGGGUGCAAGGCCCGUGUGGCUGUUAUUGCGUUCAUUCGAUCGGCUUCCUCCUGGGAGUCGGGUUGCUUGGAAGUGCAGCCCUAAGUGGGUGGUAAACUCCACCUAAGGCUAAAUACUACCACGAGACCGAUAGCAAACAAGUACCGUGAGGGAAAGUUGCAAAGAACUUUGAAGAGAGAGUUCAAGAGUACGUGAAACCGCUCGGAGGCAAACGGGUGGGCCCUCGAAGUUCGAACGGGGGGAUUCAACUUGUCAGCUCCCGAUGGUCACCAGGCCGUGCAGUUGGAAGACGGAUCCGUCAAGGACCUCGGCACGGCCAUUUUAACCCAGUGGUGACCGCUGGCAGGUGCACUUCCCUNCCCAGUAGGACGCUGCGACCGGUCGGGGUCGCAGGUUCCUCGUCCAAAAGACGUUGGAACCGAGACGUAAAACGGUGUCCAUGGGACAAGACUCUGGAAGGUAUCCGUUGCCGGUAACUCUUCGUUUUCGUCCGUGAAAGCGCUAGAGCCCGGUCGGAGUUAUAGCCCGUCUUGCUCUGGUCUUCCUGUGCACCGCCCGACCGUGGUUACCUAUCGAACUGGCAACAGCUGGGGAGAUGUUGGAAAGGUAACGCGUCCGCGCACCGUUUCUUCCUCGUUUCGGCGAGGAGGUGGCGGUCCUUCCACGUAAGUGAAAAGGUGCGCGAGUCUGCUCUGGCAAGCUGUGCCCUGGCUGCCGAACGCCAUCGUCCUGGCGGUCGGUAAGUCUGUUGGCUGGCUGCUAGCCGAGUGCAGGCUACUCUCGUGGUGACGCUUGUUGUCUGCGGCGAGUAGGUCGGUUGCCCACCCGACCCGUCUUGAAACACGGACCAAGGAGUCUAACAUGUGCGCGAGUCGUUGGGUUGUCUUCCCAGAGACAAAACCCGUUCGGCACAAUUAAAGUGAAGGUAGUGCUGGUUUCCUUUGCCGUCCGUGCUGAGGACCAGCCUACCAUGGCGGGAUCCGCAUUUGGCUAUAGAAUUCUGGUAAGACAAAAAAGCCAUGCGGCGCACCGCCGGCCCGUCUUUUCCGCACUGUCGGUAAGGCGGAGCCAGAGCGUACACGUUGGGACCCGAAAGAUGGUGAACUAUGCUCGGGCAGGACGAAGCCAGAGGAAACUCUGGUGGAGGUCCGUAGCGAUUCUGACGUGCAAAUCGAUCGUCGGACCUGAGUAUAGGGGCGAAAGACUAAUCGAACCGUCUAGUAGCUGGUUCCCUCCGAAGUUUCCCUCAGGAUAGCUGGCACUCGGUGAGGAACGCAGUCUCAUCCGGUAAAGCGAAUGAUUAGAGGCCUUGGGGCCGAAACGACCUCAACCUAUUCUCAAACUUUCAAUGGGUGAGAAGUCCGGCAUGCUUGACUGAAGCCCGGACGGUGCAUCCUCGAGAAAAUAAAGAGGUGCAUGGCGAUCCGCAUGGGUAGUCAUUCUGACAUUGCGCGCAGUCUGUCGUGGCGGGAAUGAUUUGCUCGGAUCGAUGGAUGCGAGUGCCCAGUGGGCCAAUUUUGGUAAGCAGAAAUGGCGCUGUGGGAUGAACCAAACGCUGGGUUACGGCGCCCGAUGCUGACGCUCAUCAGAUCCCAUGAAAGGUGUUGGUUGCUAUAGACAGCAGGACGGUGGCCAUGGAAGUCGGAAUCCGCUAAGGAGUGUGUAACAACUCACCUGCCGAAGCAACUAGCCCUGAAAAUGGAUGGCGCUCCAGCGUCGAGCCCAUACCCAGCCGCUGGUGGCAAAGAGAACAGGAAAGGAAAGGCUGGUCGUCCGUCCACCUUCCUCUGGAUAAAAGGCCCCAGCGAGUAGGAGGGUCGCAGCGGCAAGCGUUGAAGGUGUCGGGCGUAGGCCCGCCUGGAGCUGCCGCUGGUGCAGAUCUUGGUGGUAGUAGCAAAUACUCGAGUGAGAACCUUGAGGACUGAAGUGGAGAAGGGUUCCAUGUGAACAGCAGUUGAACAUGGGUCAGUCGGCCCUAAGGAAUAGGGGAAACCCAUUCCGAAUCGGGUGGCUUUGGCAAGAACGAAACGUCUCUGCUGCGCCCAAUGUCCGUGUGUGCGCCAGCACUGGCAAGUGUCAAAAACAUGAAAACCCCCGAAUGAUCGAAAGGGAAUCGGGUUAAUAUUCCCGAACCUGGAUGCAGAGAUCGGCCCUCAGGGGCCCAAUGCGGUAACGCAAACGAACUCGGAGACGUCGGCGGGAGUCCCGGGAAGAGUUGUCNUUUUCUUUGUAAGGGACGGACUCCCUGGAAUCGGUUCGCCCGGAGAGAGGGAUGUUGUUCCCGUAAAGCACCGCGGCUCUUGCGGUGUCCGGAGCACUCUCGCCGGCCCUUGAAAAUMCGRGGGAGAGAAAAUGAUUUUUGCACCAGACCGUACCC
RNAcentral lists this ribosomal RNA (2475 nucleotides) under Cryptops legagus. RNAcentral's name for it is "partial large subunit ribosomal RNA". Lineage: Eukaryota; Metazoa; Arthropoda; Chilopoda; Scolopendromorpha; Cryptopidae. The record is from RNAcentral.